Molecule: ribosomal RNA, 477 nt
Filed under: uncultured bacterium
Lineage: Bacteria
Description: partial 16S ribosomal RNA
Rfam family: Bacterial small subunit ribosomal RNA
Source: RNAcentral
GAUAAACGCUGGCGGCGUGCAUAACACAUGCAAGUCGAACGAUGAAGAUUAAAAGAUUUCUUCGGAAUGAACUUAAUUGGAUUAGUGGCGGACGGGUGAGUAACGCGUGAGUAACCUGCCUUGUACAAGGGGAUAGCCGUUGGAAACGACGAAUAAUACCCUAUGACAUCAAAUAAUCGCAUGAUAAUUUGAUCAAAGAUUUAUCGGUAUAAGAUGGACUCGCGUCUGAUUAGCUAGUUGGUAGAGUAAAAGCCUACCAAGGCAACGAUCAGUAGCCGGCUUGAGAGAGUGUACGGCCACAUUGGGACUGAGACACGGCCCAGACUCCUACGGGAGGCAGCAGUGGGGAAUGUUGCACAAUGGGGGAAACCCUGAUGCAGCGACGCCGCGUGAUUUAGAAGGCCUUCGGGUUGUAAAAAUCUUUUGUAUGGGAAGAAAAUGACAGUACCAUACGAAUAAGGACCGGCUAAUUACGUG